Molecule: long non-coding RNA, 409 nt
Filed under: Homo sapiens (human)
Lineage: Eukaryota; Metazoa; Chordata; Mammalia; Primates; Hominidae
Description: non-protein coding lnc-ZNF302-4:2
Source: RNAcentral
AUGAGGAUGACACCCACCGCCUGUGCUCUUCUGCUGGCUCUAAUCUGCAGCGUCCAGCUGGGUGAGAAAGAAGCGGGCAGGGCUGAGAGGAAACAGGUGGCCCUGCUCCUUCACCGUCAUUGCCAUCCCAGGGUCUCAGCUGUCACUAUUGCAGACAUUUGCCAGGGGAGGUUUCAGUGAAUUCUGACCUCUGCUGCUUUCUUAUCUUGCCUCAUCCACCACAGGGGAUGCCUGCCUGGAUUUCUAUAAGUUGUUUGGGAGAGUUGCUUUUGCAUACCCAGAGGACCUGAAGCGGGAGCUUGCUCAAUACAACCCCAGCCCCCUGACAGAGGAGUCCUUCCUCAAGUUCUAGCAAUGCUUUGCCUCUGUUUCAUUCCCAGAAAGCCUUGCUGUUGUUGGAAUAUGGUAA